AGAGUUUGAUCCUGGCUCAGGAUACUGCUGAGCGGCAGGCCUAAUACAUGCAAGUCGAGGGGCAGCAGGGUGUAGCAAUACAUCGCUGGCGACCGGCGCACGGGUGCGUAACACGUAUGCAACCUACCUUUAACUGGGGAAUAGCCCUCCGAAAGGAGGAUUAACACCGCAUAACAUCACGAGACGGCAUCGCCUUGUGAUCAAACCUCCGGGGGUUAAAGAUGGGCAUGCGUCCGAUUAGCUAGUUGGCGGGGUAACGGCCCACCAAGGCGACGAUCGGUAGGGGGUCUGAGAGGAUGAUCCCCCACACUGGUACUGAGACACGGACCAGACUCCUACGGGAGGCAGCAGUAAGGAAUAUUGGACAAUGGUCGCAAGACUGAUCCAGCCAUGCCGCGUGCAGGAUGAACGAUCUAUGAUCUGUAAACUGCUUUUGUUCGGGAAUAAACCCCUUCACGUGUGGAGGGCUGAAUGUACCGAAAGAAUAAGGGUCGGCUAACUUCGUGCCAGCAGCCGCGGUAAGACGAAGGACCCAAGCGUUAUCCGGAUUUAUUGGGUUUAAAGGGUGCGUAGGCGGGUUGUUAAGUCAGUGGUGAAAGCCUAGAGCUUAACUCUAGAAUUGCCAUUGAUACUGACGAUCUUGAGGAUAGUUGAGGUGGGCGGAAUGUAUCAUGUAGCGGUGAAAUGCUUAGAGAUGAUACAGAACACCGAUUGCGAAGGCAGCUCACUAAGCUAUUUCUGACGCUGAGGCACGAAAGCGUGGGGAUCAAACAGGAUUAGAUACCCUGGUAGUCCACGCCCUAAACGAUGAUUACUCGAUGUGUGCGAUAUACUGUACGCGUCUAAGCGAAAGCAUUAAGUAAUCCACCUGGGGAGUACGACCGCAAGGUUGAAACUCAAAGGAAUUGACGG
This 912-nucleotide ribosomal RNA is filed under the name uncultured bacterium. RNAcentral's name for it is "bacterial SSU rRNA". It matches the Rfam family "Bacterial small subunit ribosomal RNA", at positions 8 to 916 of the family's 1533-position model. The record is from RNAcentral.